This 259-nucleotide long non-coding RNA is filed under the name Lynx pardinus (Iberian lynx). The record is from RNAcentral. Lineage: Eukaryota; Metazoa; Chordata; Mammalia; Carnivora; Felidae.
GGAGGAAGAGAUUAGAGAGGCUGCUUUAUUUUACAGUUGCCGUUGGGGGAACGCCUCCUUCCUUCCCAGAGACGAGACUUGGCAACGGGGUCUGGAUUGUGGGAUCCGCGCUCUGCGCCCUGUCCGCGCCGAAGCUGGACUUGUCAUCGGUUUAGAAUAGCAGGGUUAAGAAGUGUGGUGUGGAUGGAUGGACGGGCCUCACAAGAAAUGCUCAAAAGCCCAGUAUUAACCAAACAUGUUUCUCUUUUUUUGCCUUUGA